CGGACGGGUGAGUAACGCGUGGGUAACCUGCCCUAUACAGGGGGAUAACAACCAGAAAUGGUUGCUAAUACCGCAUAAGCGCACAGGACCGCAUGGUUCGGUGUGAAAAACUCCGGUGGUAUAGGAUGGACCCGCGUUGGAUUAGCCAGUUGGCAGGGUAACGGCCUACCAAAGCGACGAUCCAUAGCCGGCCUGAGAGGGUGAACGGCCACAUUGAGACUGAGACACGGCCCAG
This 235-nucleotide ribosomal RNA is filed under the name uncultured bacterium. Its description in RNAcentral is "partial 16S ribosomal RNA". It matches the Rfam family "Bacterial small subunit ribosomal RNA", at positions 99 to 334 of the family's 1533-position model. The record is from RNAcentral.